Molecule: ribosomal RNA, 253 nt
Filed under: uncultured bacterium
Lineage: Bacteria
Description: partial 16S ribosomal RNA
Rfam family: Bacterial small subunit ribosomal RNA
Source: RNAcentral
GACAGAGGAUGCAAACGUUGCUCGGAAUUACUGGGCGUAAAGCGCGUGUAGGUGGCCUUGUCAGUCUGAUGUGAAAGCCCAGGGCUCAACCCUGGAAGUGCAUCGGAUACUACAAGGCUGGAGUACUGAAGAGGAUAGCGGAAUUCCCGGUGUAGAGGUGAAAUUCGUAGAUAUCGGGAGGAACACCAGUGGCGAAGGCGGCUAUCUGGGCAGAUACUGACACUGAGACGCGAAAGCGUGGGGAGCAAACAGG